UAAUAAAAAUAAAUCGUGGUUGUUUGCCACCUUUUCGUGGUGACGCUUCGGAAUUGAGUCGUCUUACUUUCGGUUAAGUGACUUAAAAUUUUUUCAUACGAUUUCAAAACGUAUUUAAUGUAUUAUGUACGUUCACGAAUAUCGAAUGUUUUAUUAGGUGCGGUCAUUUUUCAUGAAUUCGCGUCUAUAUUUUUUUU
This 197-nucleotide unclassified non-coding RNA is filed under the name uncultured Glomus. RNAcentral's name for it is "partial internal transcribed spacer 2". Lineage: Eukaryota; Fungi; Glomeromycota; Glomeromycetes; Glomerales; Glomeraceae. The record is from RNAcentral.